GUUGCUUUAUAAGCAUAAAGCAUAGUCGAGAAAAAGACAAAAGACCAAAGGAGUAAACAUGAACAAGGGAAAUGCAUUCGCGAUAUACGGAAAUUUCUACUUGGAAAUUUCAAAAUAAAAAACAACUGCGCACCAACGAUAACAAACACAGGUGCUAGUUCAACCACACAGAAAGUUUUACUUAUAUAAAGGAAGAAAAAAAGCAUAGAAAAAGGAAAGAAACGAACUCGCAUUUAAAAAAUGGAAUUGACGAGAUCAGCGCCAGCAGUUGCACCAGCACCGAAUACAAAUGCAGAACCCAAACCACUACCAAUCUUCUUGAAUGUUGAUGAGUGCUUGUGCUCGGUCGGUUGUGCAACCACGAUGGGUUGUUGAGGCGCCUGAGGAUAGGCUUGGACAGGUGGAUAUGGUGCUUGCUGAGGUGGAUAUGCUGUUUGCUGAUACUGCAUGGGAGGUGCCGAAGAAGAUGCUGCUGGGGGA
Schizosaccharomyces pombe (fission yeast) is the source of this 480-nucleotide non-coding RNA. The record is from the annotation of a GenBank genome assembly. NCBI's taxonomy places the organism in Eukaryota, Fungi, Ascomycota, Schizosaccharomycetes, Schizosaccharomycetales, Schizosaccharomycetaceae.